This 323-nucleotide long non-coding RNA is filed under the name Trifolium pratense (red clover). Its description in RNAcentral is "long non-coding RNA (TPRA_LNC008340)". Lineage: Eukaryota; Viridiplantae; Streptophyta; Magnoliopsida; Fabales; Fabaceae. The record is from RNAcentral.
GCUAUAUAUUUUUCACUAGUGCAGUAUGCAUUUUGUUUGAAAUCUAUCUAAAAAAAUUUUGCUAUCCGUCUGAAAUCCGUCUCAAAUCAAAUGAAAGUAAGACAAAUUUGGUUGGCAAUAUUUGUCUCAAUUUCGUCUUAAAUUUGUCUGAAAUAAUUUCGGACGGAUUUCAGACGAACAUUUCAAUUAGCAACGAGGGUUUUUCGGACGUGACACAAUCCGUCCGAAUUUUUUCUGAACCCUUCUUUCCGUCCAAAAUUUGUCCGAAAUCCAUCUCUAAUCCGCCUGAAAUUCCGUCCGAAAACCCCAAAUUUCUAGUAGUG